Molecule: ribosomal RNA, 492 nt
Filed under: uncultured bacterium
Lineage: Bacteria
Description: partial 16S ribosomal RNA
Rfam family: Bacterial small subunit ribosomal RNA
Source: RNAcentral
AGUGAACGCUGGCGGUAGGCCUAACACAUGCAAGUCGAACGGCAGCACAGUAAGAGCUUGCUCUUACGGGUGGCGAGUGGCGGACGGGUGAGGAAUACAUCGGAAUCUACUUUUUCGUGGGGGAUAACGUAGGGAAACUUACGCUAAUACCGCAUACGACCUACGGGUGAAAGCAGGGGAUCUUCGGACCUUGCGCGAUUGAAUGAGCCGAUGUCGGAUUAGCUAGUUGGCGGGGUAAAGGCCCACCAAGGCGACGAUCCGUAGCUGGUCAGAGAGAAUGAUCGGCCACACUGGAAGUGAGACACGGUCCAGACUCCUACGGGAAGCAGCAGUAGGGAAUAUUGGGCGAUAGGCGCAAGCCUGAUCCAGCCAUGCCGCGUGGGUGAAGAAGGCAUUCGGGUUGUGAAGCCCUUGUGUUGGGGAAGAAAAGCAGCAGGUUAAUACCCCGCUGUUCCGACGGUACCCGAAGAAUAAGCACCGGCUAACUUCGUG